Calypte anna (Anna's hummingbird) is the source of this 887-nucleotide long non-coding RNA. RefSeq lists it as uncharacterized. The record is from RefSeq and is a predicted model, not a curated record. The transcript is spliced from 3 exons. Lineage: Eukaryota; Metazoa; Chordata; Aves; Apodiformes; Trochilidae.
CUUCCCCUUGCGCGGCUGCGGGGCGCCGCGGACCCGUCGGCCGGGCAGUCGCUGGCAGUACAGCCCCUUCUCCGGCAGCACAGCAGCGGCGGAGCUGCGGAAGGCAGGAGCCGGCCACGGGUUUCCCCAGCACCGGGCAGCCUUCCCCCGCACCUGGGGCAGCCUGGGCGCAGGAAUACUCCUCUGAUGAGAGACAGCCCUCAGGCGACACCAAGCCAUCUUAGCUUGGGCUUCGAACAGCGGUCCUAUGAAGGAUUCUCACCUACGUCUCAGUAACAGCGCAAGGAAAGCCCUAGGUGCAGUAAUGGCUGUGCUAAUCACUCAAGUUCACAUUGAGCAGGGCUGUGCUCCUGUCUGAGACGCGGCAGCCCUCGCUUCAGAGACCAAAGUACAUCCUAAAUUUCCUGAGGAGAUGACCUUGCACCAGCCGGAGUGGCAGCACCUGGGAGGCUGGGGACAGCCUGGUGUCACCCUGCCCUGCUCAACAGCUCCUGCAGCACACUGGCACCCACACCUGCUCUGUGGAGGAAGCUGGCACCCCACAGCCCAUCCGGGUCCCUCCCUUGGGCUGCUCUUCUCCCGGAUAUCCUUUCACCCCUCUGAAGGCAGUGGGUUGGGAACAGGGUAUUUAGUUUGGGGCAAUACCCAUCUAACUCUUUGGGUGCCUAAGUAGUAAUUUUUUCUAAAAUACCCUAGCCCCCAGGCGCUAUUUUUUGCUAAUUUUAAUGUAUACUCCUGUAAUAGUAAUUUCACAGACUCUGCCUGUGAUGUACUCCAUGAAGUAAUAAAAUCAUGCACUUGAGACUGCUCUUAAAUCCUACCACAGGCACACAAAGCACACAUCCUUCUUGGUCAUCAAAAGAUGACCAAUCAUCAAUUAUCAUGAC